Molecule: long non-coding RNA, 4282 nt
Organism: Oncorhynchus nerka (sockeye salmon)
Lineage: Eukaryota; Metazoa; Chordata; Actinopteri; Salmoniformes; Salmonidae
Exons: 4
Source: RefSeq, a predicted model, not a curated record
GUAGGCUAGCUGGCAGUGGCUGCGUUGUUGAUUCGGGGGCUAGCUGGCUAGCUAGCAGUGUUGAUUACGUUCCGUUGCGUUAAAAGAACGACAAUAGCUGGCUAGGUAACCUAGAAAAUCGUUCUAGACUACACAAUUAUCUUUGAUACAAAGACGGCUAUGUAGCUAGCUAUGUAGCUAGCUACGAUCAAACAAAUCAAACCGUUGUACUGUAAUGAAAUGAAAUGAAAAUGUGAUACUACCUGUGGAGCGAGGCGGAAUGCGACCGGGUUGUUGAGUUCUAAUCGGUAGACGUUGGCUAGCUGUUGGCUAGCUAGCAGUGUCUCCUACGUUAAGGACGACAAAUAGCUGGCUGCGUUGUUGAUUCAGGGGCUAGCUGGCUAGCUAGCUAGCAGUGUUGAUUACGUUACGUUGCGUUAAAAGAACGACAAUAGCUGGCUAGGUAACCUAGAAAAUCGCUCUAGACUACACAAUUAUCUACACAAUUAUCUUUGAUACAGAGACGGCUAUGUAGCUAGCUAGGUAGACGGUGGGCGUUAGCUAGCUGGCUAGCUGCUGGGCAGAUACGUUAGGACGACGAAAUACGAUAAUUACGCAAUUAUUUUUGAUACAAAGACGGCUAUGUAGCUAGCUAAGAAGAAAUUGCUAAGAUUAGACAAAUCAAACCGUUGUACUAUAAUGAAAUGUAAUGAAAAGUUAUACUACCUGCAGACCGAAGUGCAGACCGAAGUGCGGAUGCGACUGCUCGCUCCAACCCUGUUCUUUAUGUAGAAAUAAGAGAAAGAUAGUUGUCACAUUUUAUGUAUAGAUAAGUAAAUCCAAGCCAUGUAUAAACUUGGACACUUGUUGAAUAUAUUUUUAUUCAAACGUGUAUUAGGCGACCAAUUUUAAGGAUCAUGAAAGCAAUGUAUUGGAUAGCCUCGUUCCUUGUCCCUCCAGAAAAUGCUGCAGCGACUACACAGCAUAAUCGGACUGAGCUUGUUGUCAUUGCAGGCAAUCUCAACGCUGUGCAUUACAGGGAAGACAUCCUCCUCCCUCAUGUGGUACCCUUCCCGCAAGGUACCACAUGAGAAAGACAGGAAUGUCAGGAAUGUCUUCCUGCAAGACAGGAAUGUCAGUGUUCUGCCAUGGCCAGCGAAGAGCCCGGAUCUCAAUCCCAUUGAGCACGUCUGGGACCUGUCGGACCGGAGGGUGAGGGCUAGGGCCAUUCCCCCAGAAAUGUCCGGGAACUUGCAGGUGCCUUCGUGGAAGAGUGGGGUAACAUCUCACAGGAAGAACUGGCAAAUCUGGUGCAGUCCAUGAGGAGGAGAUGCACUGAAGUGCUUAAUGCAGCUGGUGGCCACACCAGAUACUGACUGUUACUUUUGAUUUUGACUCCCCUUUGUUCAGGGCCACAUUAUUCAAUUUCUGUUAGUCACAUGUCUGUGGAACUUGUUCAGUUUAUGCCUCAGUUGUUGAAUCUUCUUAUGUUCAUACAAAUAUUUACCCAUGUUGAGGUUCGUUGAAAAUAAACACAAUUGACAGUGAGAGGAUGUUUCUUCUUUGCUGAGUAUAAAAGCUCAAUAAAAGGUCCUCCCAAGUGGCGCAGUGGUCUAAGGAACUGCUUCGCAGUGAUAGCUGUGCCACUAGAGAUCCUGGUUCGAGUUAAGGCUCUGUUGCAGCCGCCGAGACCGGGAGACCCAUGGGGCAGCGCACAAUUGGCCCAGUGUUGUCCGGGUUAGGGGAGGGAUUGGCCGGCAGGGGUGUCCUUGUCCCAUCGCUCUCUAGGGACUCCUGUGGAGCAUACACGGUCACCAGGUGUACGGUGUUUCCUCCGACAUAUUGGUGUGGCUGGCUUCGGGUUAAGCAAGCAUUGUGUCAAGAAACAAUGCGGCUUGGUUGGGUUGUGUUUCAGAGGACGCACGGCUGUUGACUGACGCCUCUCCCGAGUCUGUACAGGAGUUGCAGCGAUGAGACAAGACUGUAACUACCAAUUGGAUAUCAUGAUAAAGGGGCUGUAGUCUACUACACGGAAAUCCUGAGGAACAGUGAUGUCCAGCUCCAGCAGACUGCCUGUCUGGCCCUCAAGUGUCUCAAAGCGAUGGAGAGCGUGGAGCAGGAGGCUGAGUUGUGGUGGUCAUCUGACGAGGACCUGCGCAGUGCUGUUAGAGAGACCGUGCUAUCAUAGGGUAACCAUGGCUGACAGAGGAAGAACAAUGAUUCCAGUGCAAUCCGUUUUGUCACCAAAGCCCCAUAUACUACCCACCAUUGCGACCUAUACGCUCUCGUUGGCUGGCCCUCGCUUCAUACUCGUCGCCAAACCCACUGGCUCCAUGUCAUCUACAAGACCCUGCUAGGUAAAGUCCCCCCUUAUCUCAGCUCGCUGGUCACCAUAGCAUCUCCCACCUGUAGCACACGCUCCAGCAGGUAUAUCUCUCUAGUCACCCCCAAAACCAAUUCUUUCUUUGGCCGCCUCUCCUUCCAGUUCUCUGCUGCCAAUGACUGGAACGAACUACAAAAAUCUCUUAAAUUGGAAACACUUAUCUCCCUCACUAGCUUUAAGCACCAACUGUCAGAGCAUCUUACAGAUUACUGCACCUGUACAUAGCCCACCUAUAAUUUAGCCCAAACAACUACCUCUUUCCCAACUGUAUUUAAUUUAUUUAUUUAUUUUGCUCCUUUGAACCUCAUUAUUUUUAUUUCUACUUUGCACAUUCUUCCAUUGCAAAACUACCAUUCCAGUGUUUUACUUGUUAUAUUGUAUUUACUUUGCCACCAUGGCCUUUUUUGCCUUUACCUCCCUUCUCACCUAAUUUGCUCACAUUGUAUAUAGACUUGUUUUUUUUACUCUAUUAUUGACUGUAUGUUUGUUUUACUCCAUGUGUAACUCUGUGUCGUUGUAUGUGUCGAACUGCUUUGCUUUAUCUUGGCCAGGUCGCAAUUGUAAAUGAGAACUUGUUCUCAACUUGCCUACCUGGUUAAAUAAAGGUGAAAUAAAUAAAAUAAAAAAUUCCAAACACCAACCUCCUUUUGAAGCUUCCAGUCUAUUAUUCGAACUCAAUCAGCAUGACUGAGUUAUCUCCAGCCUUGUCCUUGUCAACACUCAUACCUGUGUUAACGAGAGAAUCACUGACAUGAUGUCAGCUGGUCUUUUUGUGGCAGGGCUGAAAUGCAGUGGAUUUUUUUUUUUGCAAUUCAGUUCAUUUGCAUGGCAAAGAGGGACUUUGAAAUUCAUUGCAAUUCAUCUGUUCACUCUUCAUAACAUUCUGGAGUAUAUGCAAAUUGCCAUCAUACAAACUGAGGCAGCAGACUGUGAAAAUUAAUAUUUGUGUCAUUCUCAAAACCUUUGCCCACGACUGUAGAUCCUCCAUAUGACAUUGAGAAAUAGUGCAUUGUGGUAGUUUAGAACAUAUCUGUAAAUAAUUUAUUAAAUAUGUAAUAACCCAAAAACAUAACUAUUUUUGUAGUUAUAGGUAGCCAGAUUAUGACUACAACUAAGUUACUAAGUCUCUGACCACAUUGUGUUACAUUAGUAAGUAAAAACUCAUGCUUUCUAGCCUUUAAAGGGCGACUGCACUUCCUGAUUUGACCUUGAUUUUCAUCAAUGCUCAUUAAGAAAUGCUAGAGGCCAUAACUGAAGGCAAAUGAGAGCCAUUCAAUCACAACAAGCAAGGGCAGUAGUGAAUACGGUGAGGUAAGCUAAGAUAGCUUUGCUAUGAAGAGAACAAAGUUUUGAAGUUGAGGACUUCUCCCCUCCUGACCGACUCGCCAUCUCAAGUUGGUCAUCUAAUUCAGUUACAAGUAUAGGCUAAAGGCUGCGCUGACCUUGUGUUUUGCCAAACUGACAGUAACUACCUAGCAUAGCUUGGUGAUAACUGUAGCUGGCUAUCAUAUUUAGCUGAUAUUUCUCUGUCAAAUCAGUUAUGCCAAGAAUGUGUUUCAUAAGACACUUGCUACGAAAGUAAUUUAGUUUCAGCGUGUCACGACUUCCGCCGAAGUUGGUUCCUCUCCUUGUUCGGGCGGCGUUCGGCGGUCGGCGGUCGGCGUCGCCGGUCUUCUAGCCAUCAUUGAUCCACUUUUCAUUUUCCAUUUGUUUGGUCUUGUCUUCCCACACACCUUGUUUAAAUUCUAUCAUUACAUGUUGUGUAUUUAACCCUCUGUUCCCCCCAUGUCCUUGUCCGGAAUUAUUUAUUGUAAGUGCAUGUGCAUGUUUAUUCUGGUGUGCGACGGGUUUUUGUAACCAUUUAUUGUUUGUUCUGAUCUGGGGGGUUUUAUUAUUAAACUGCUCCGUUGUAAACCCAGA